GAAUAAAAAGAGUUCUCUUUUUCUCUCUUUAAAAAAACUAUUGAGAUCAAAGGUUGGAGGGAACGAAAGUAUUUCUUUAAGCUGGAUCUAAGACCCUGGAUUUUAUCGGUGAUUUCCCCGUGCCAAGUGCUUUUAAGGUGUAGGAUAAGACCCGAGAUGUGACAAUUGUCAACAUGUGUUAGUACGUGAUGUAGUUAAGGUAUACUUCCGACUUAAGACUUGGCGGCAACUUCGAAGCUCAGUUCACAUAAUUUUGUAUAAGUUGAUUUGGUUUUUAAUUUCGGACUUUACGAUUUUCCAGAUUUUAAUUUGUUUUGGAAUGUUAAAUUCUUGGUUUUGGUAAUUUUUUCGUGGAUGUUUUAUUUAAAACUUGUAAACUCACGCAAGAUGACAUAACUAAUGGAUCUUAUGAUUUUAAGAGAUAAUAAUUUUAAAAGUA
This is a long non-coding RNA of Gossypium arboreum, 439 nucleotides long. RefSeq lists it as uncharacterized. The record is from RefSeq and is a predicted model, not a curated record. The transcript is spliced from 3 exons. NCBI's taxonomy places the organism in Eukaryota, Viridiplantae, Streptophyta, Magnoliopsida, Malvales, Malvaceae.